UGGGAAUAUUGCACAAUGGGCGCAAGCCUGAUGCAGCCAUGCCGCGUGUAUGAAGAAGGCCUUCGGGUUGUAAAGUACUUUCAGUCGGGAGGAAGGUGGUAAGGUUAAUAACCUUAUCAAUUGACGUUACCGACAGAAGAAGCACCGGCUAACUCCGUGCCAGCAGCCGCGGUAAUACGGAGGGUGCAAGCGUUAAUCGGAAUUACUGGGCGUAAAGCGCACGCAGGCGGUUGAUUGAGUCAGAUGUGAAAUCCCCGGGCUUAACCCGGGAAUUGCAUCUGAUACUGGUCAGCUAGAGUCUUGUAGAGGGGGGUAGAAUUCCAUGUGUAGCGGUGAAAUGCGUAGAGAUGUGGAGGAAUACCGGUGGCGAAGGCGGCCCCCUGGACAAAGACUGACGCUCAGGUGCGAAAGCGUGGGGAGCAAACAGG
Molecule: ribosomal RNA, 428 nt
Filed under: Chloroflexota bacterium
Lineage: Bacteria; Bacillati; Chloroflexota
Description: Chloroflexi bacterium partial 16S ribosomal RNA
Rfam family: Bacterial small subunit ribosomal RNA
Source: RNAcentral